Molecule: Y RNA, 107 nt
Filed under: Sapajus apella (tufted capuchin)
Lineage: Eukaryota; Metazoa; Chordata; Mammalia; Primates; Cebidae
Also listed under: 1 other name
Description: Cebus apella (Tufted capuchin) Y RNA
Rfam family: Y RNA
About the family: Y RNAs are components of the Ro ribonucleoprotein particle (Ro RNP), in association with Ro60 and La proteins. The Y RNAs and Ro60 and La proteins are well conserved, but the function of the Ro RNP is not known.
Source: Rfam by way of RNAcentral
GAUUCGUCCUCAGGUAGUGAGUUAUCUCGAUUAUUUAGUCAGUUACAGAUUGAACUUCUUUUUUCUACUCUUUCCUGCUUUUCAUUGCUGCACUUGACUAGUUUUUA